UCUCGUCUGGGCGUGCUCUCUUAAAGGGGAAGUGGUGCGUUCUGACUGGCCAGGGCCCUCAUCCAGGAGCCAGGAAACAUCUACUACCACGAGUCGCGUUGCCCAGCGUGUCACUGGCUCAGCCUCCUUAUCCAAACGGCAAGGCAGCCUCCCCGGGAUGUAGAGAAGACACGGUUCAAUGUGUAGACCUUCUCCCUCUCCAGUGUCUCCAGCCUCCAAUCCCAGGACAUCACUAGUACAGGUGAAAACAAAAGCCUGUCUCAGCGGCCAUCACUCUGCCAGCAGCACCUCAAAGCCAUUCAAAACGCCCAAAGACAAUCUACUUACCUCCAGCAGCAAACAGCACACAGUCUUUCCUGCGAAAGGAUCAAGGGAUAAACCAUGUGUUCCGGUUCCUGUAGUCAGUUUAGAGAAAAUUCCUAACCUAGUGAAGGCAGAUGGUGCCAAUGUCAAAAUGAACUCCACAACCACUACUGCAGUUUCUGCCUCCUCCACCUCGUCCUCUGCCAUCUCCACCCCUCCUUUAAUUAAGCCUGUCCUGAUGUCCAAGUCAGUGCCACCUUCACCAGAGAAGAUCUUAAAUGGCAAAGGAAUUCUGCCAACCACCAUAGACAAGAAACACCAAAAUGGCACCAAAAACAGCAACAAGCCUUACAGGAGACUUUCAGACACAUUCGCUAAGCCAUCGGAGGGCAGUCCCAGGCCGGAAAAAGCAAUUUGACCUCCUCCUGGCAGAACACAAAGCAAAGUCCCGGGAAAAAGAAGUUAAAGAUAAAGAGCAUCUCCUGACUUCCACGAGGGAAAUACUUCCAAGCCAAUCCGGGCCGGCACAGGAUUCUCUGCUAGGGUCUUCAGGGAGCUCUGGGCCAGAACCGAAAGUUGCAUCCCCUGCAAAAUCCAGACCACCUA
Molecule: small RNA, 909 nt
Filed under: Pan troglodytes (chimpanzee)
Lineage: Eukaryota; Metazoa; Chordata; Mammalia; Primates; Hominidae
Description: processed transcript
Source: RNAcentral